ACGUAGGGUACAAGCGUUGUCCGGAAUUAUUGGGCGUAAAGAGCUCGUAGGUGGUUGGUCACGUCUGCUGUGGAAACGCAACGCUUAACGUUGCGCGUGCAGUGGGUACGGGCUGACUAGAGUGCAGUAGGGGAGUCUGGAAUUCCUGGUGUAGCGGUGAAAUGCGCAGAUAUCAGGAGGAACACCGGUGGCGAAGGCGGGACUCUGGGCUGUAACUGACACUGAGGAGCGAAAGCAUGGGGAGCGAACAGG
Molecule: ribosomal RNA, 252 nt
Filed under: uncultured bacterium
Lineage: Bacteria
Description: partial 16S ribosomal RNA
Rfam family: Bacterial small subunit ribosomal RNA
Source: RNAcentral